This is a non-coding RNA of Oryctes borbonicus, 47 nucleotides long. The record is from Rfam. NCBI's taxonomy places the organism in Eukaryota, Metazoa, Arthropoda, Insecta, Coleoptera, Scarabaeidae.
CUUAAGGUCUUAUUUAAGACCAUCAAACACACCUCGAAGCAAAAUUG